GUUACAAGGGCCUAUUUUAGCAAAUAGUAAAUUUGACUUAACCCCCCACUUAAAUAGUAAACUAAUUAAGAACAUUUGCGAUAUCAUCUAACAGAAACCCCCCACUUGGAGCAAGCAACAACAAUUGAUAUUUUUACGUAGGGAAAAGAAGGGCACACUAAUUACCAAUAAUUAACACAUGCAUGCAGCUAGCUAGGUACGUGAGAAUUAAUAAUAAUAAAACUUAAUCAAUCACCUGAUCAUGUGGCCCAGAUUCCUCCCUCUGUGGUUCUGAAGAUCGUGAUGAUGAUGAUGAUGAUGAUGAACAAGAAGAAUAUCAGAUUGAAAUGUAGCCCGUCCUCUCUGCAGUUUGCAUUUGCUUUCCUGAAAACAGCUUCCUGCCUUGAUAUAUAUAUAUUAUUGGUAUUGGAUUUUCUGGCUUGGCUCUCUUUGGGUGCCUCGAUGGUUUCGUUUAACUGCUAAGCAGCUUGUCUUUAGGGUUCUUGUUUGCAUUUUGGUGCUGUUGUCUCCUGGCUUGUGUUUUUAUUUGGCUAAUUUUUUGAGUUAUUUUGAUGGUGAUGUUGGUCAGCUUGUUCCUUUGUUGUGUGGCCGUUUUUUCGGUUGGCUUUUGUUCCUUUCAGUUUGGA
Molecule: long non-coding RNA, 626 nt
Filed under: Prunus dulcis (almond)
Lineage: Eukaryota; Viridiplantae; Streptophyta; Magnoliopsida; Rosales; Rosaceae
Description: sRNA ncRNA
Source: RNAcentral